Molecule: long non-coding RNA, 26814 nt
Filed under: Mytilus galloprovincialis (Mediterranean mussel)
Lineage: Eukaryota; Metazoa; Mollusca; Bivalvia; Mytilida; Mytilidae
Source: RNAcentral
UGCAUGUGUAGUACAGUCAUGAUCUGGAUAUCCGCCUAAGACAUUUUAGUAGAUUUAUUGAAGGUAAAUACUUAUUUAUAAACGUUCGAAACUAAAAAGAAAUGUAAUAAUACGAGCUGCUGCUCAAGUUGAAAAAAAAGGAUUUGUUUCAAUAAUUUUCAUUUGAAAUUGUUAUUAACUUCAUUAUUCUGUUAUUAUUGCUGUGUGUUUACAUUCUAGUCAUUCAAUGCAGUAAUAGUUACUCGUGAGAAUAGUUAUCCCAUGAGGACACAACUAGUUCGAAAGGGAUAACUAUUUUACAUCUCAGCUGUUUUAGAUAAGACGAAAAACCAUUUACAAUUCAUAAAAUCUAGUUAAGAACGCCACACAACCAUUAUAAUAUACUUUAUAUAUUACUAUAUAAUGUCUACCCUUUCUGACCCCCGAACACGAUGAUUAAAUAUGAAACAAUGUAAACUCGCGCCACUGGCAAAUCGGCCCACACUAGAUCGCCACUUUAAAAAAAGUCGCCUUAGUUUUGUUUAUGACUCGCCCCACUUUUGAAAAAGCGUAAAAUCGAAUCGAACAAUCAGUCUGACAACAUGUACUUAUUUACGAAAAGGGUUUAAACUCCACUGAAUAAAGGUCUGCCAAAUCGCCCCUCUUAUAAAAAUAUCUUGCUUCUUUUAAGUAUGUGAAUUUACUGAUAGUUUGUACCCAGUCGUCCUGGUGUAGUGAUAUGUGUCGUUGGUUGAUAUGCUAAAGGUCUUGAGUUCGAAUCUCAGCAUAGAUACUGGAUUUUUUCUGCGUAAAUUUUGAUAGAUAGUCUUUUCCGUAUAAUUAAUUAUAAGUUUUAUAGUGGAUUUGACAUUCCCGCCAAACUGUUACAGAACAAAGGAGUGCAAAACAAAGAAACUCAAGCUGAAUUGAUCAGGUAUGGGUGAUCCGGCUCAGAUCACCCCUGGUAGAACAAAGAAGCUGCGAUGUGAAUUGAAAAACACAGGGUAUCUAUCUGUGACAAAAAAUCAGUUCGUCCAUAAAAAAAACCCCACAAAAGCAAAGUAACAACGAUUUUAUUGCUGUUUUCCGUCUCAAAGUAUAUUGCUACAUUGUAUAUAAAAAGAGUAUCACCAUAACUCUAUACAAGGUUAUUCUAUCUUAAUUUCUUAUCCUAUUUGAGACAUUCUUAUUUCCAAGUCAUAUGUUGCCAUUGCAUGAUCUAUUCAUCUCACUUAUUCAUUAACUUUUUUCUACUUGCUAAAUAACUUUUCGAAAUGUCACGAAGGCACGAAUACUAACACAAAUAGAUAUACGUCAAGUUGGUUACAUAUUUCUUAUUCCUAAAUAGACAGUAUGAAUAUAUGAUGCAACUUUCACAUUCACGUCUUGAUUUUUUGGAAAGAAACACUAAUCGUUUGAAGUGUGUCACAUGCACUGAUAGUUACCUGCUUUCAUUGUCAUGGAAAGGGAAAAAAGUGUAUAUAUCCAAUAAUCCAUCAUAAUUUUGUUUCCAUUCUGAAAAUAUAUACAUAUAUUUUGGUAAGUUUAUUAAUAAAAGUCUUAACAUUUUAUAACGUACAAUGUAACAUUAUUAUGAAAUUGAUCACAUGCAUAAUAUCAGAUAUAGAGACAUUUAUGAUAUGUUAUUUACAUAACAAAGAUAUAAGAUAUUCUGUAAAUUCGUUUUUUCCCCUGUUAAUCUACGUUUUAGGGUUAUUCUGCAGUAAAUGUAAUUUUGUACUAAAAAAUUAUAAAAUCACUUGCAACCUUCACAUUCACUUACAAGUGCGGAUAUGGAGGAAGUAUAGAUUAUAUGUCCAUUAAAUGUAGUUGUCAAUCUCUUAGCUAUAGCUUAUAUUAUUCGUCUCCUUACGUUUAAUUUUUAUUUGCAUUUACAUAGUUCACUUUAUUUAACGCACCCGUUCUCCGUUAAAUUUUCUAUUAAAAAUCAAAAUUAACAUGCAUAGGCUAUGACAGAGAUGGUUCAAAUUAGCAAUUUUUGUUGUUGUAAAUUUGAUACGAUUACAUUAGAAGUUUUAGAUUAGUAAUACCAUUGUUGAAAAAGUAAAAACAUUUAGAAUAAAUCCAAAGACAGAUUAAUAACCAAUUGUUGAGAGAACAAAUGAAGGUAUUUCCACCCAAAACCAUGUAUUUUGAUGUUCACCGUUAAAUUUUCUAUUAAAUUUUCUAUUAAAUAUUUCUAUAAAUCUCAAAAUUAUCAUGCAUAGGCUAUGACAGCAAUGGUUCAAAUUAGCAAUGUUGUUGUAAAUUUGAUACGAUUACAUUAGAAUUUUUAGAUUAGUAAUACCAUUGUUGAAAAAGUUAAAAAUUUAGAAUAAAUCCAAAGACAAAUUAAAAACCAAUUGUUGAGAGAACAAAUGAAGGUCUUUACACCAAACCAAAAACCAUGUAUUUUGAUAUGAAAGUAGUAACAUUAGGUUUAACAUGUCAUUUUCCAGCGUCAAAUGAUAGCUUAUUGUACGCUGAUUCCCAAAAUAUAUGGUUUUUAUACAAUAUUUUUUAAAUAAGGGAGAUAAUUUGUUACUUCCGGUUUGAAAAAUGUUAUUUCCGAUAUUAUUUGAAUGUUUAGUUGACACUUAUUCCAAACAUAUCUGGUCCUAUAUACUUUUAUAUGAUAGAGUACAAAAAAAUCUACUUCCGGUUUACAAAAGGUCACUUCUGAUGUUUUUUUCAAGGUUAAAUGGCUUGAAACCUAAUGCAAAAAGUCCCAUGGCUUUAUCAUGUAUACAUAUGAGGUCAAUUUUACCUAUGAUCUUGAGCUCAAUUUUAGGUAAUCAAUCAAGGACCUCAAAUCAAAAGACCCUUGGUCUUAAUUAUAUUUGGUUCAUGAGCUAUUUCACCAUAUGCAUAUUUUUAAAUAAAAGAGGGGAGAAAACUCUAAUUAGAUGUUAGCGUAGCCUUUAAACCAAUAUGUAUGUGUUACGACAUGUCGCAACUAACAAUUGAGUAAAAAUAUGUUGUCAAUAUCUAAUAUCGACGUGUUUAAAAAGAGGUGAAUAAGCCAAAAUCAAAAAAUUUAAAAAUGACCUUGACCUUUGACCAUGACCCUAUUUUUUUUUUACCAAGGACCUCAAAUAGACCCUAGGUCUCAAUCACUUAUGGUUUACCAAUUUCGAUUUCAUUUUACUUUUCUUUAAUACAGAAGGGGAAAUAACUCUCAUAUGGUUUCCGGACCGCUUAGGUCAAAAUUCUUUUUAAGAUCCUCUGGAUAUAACGAGCAAAUUGGUGACAUAAAUUUGUCAUAAUCCUUCACGGUUGCGAAGGAGAUACGUACACACAAAAAUAGUGUUUAGGGAGAUAACUCUCACAAUAAAAAGUGUGCGGUUAAACAGGGUCAGCUUCAAAGUCGCCGUAGCUGUUUGGUAUCAUAUGCAAAAAAUCUAAGCGGCAUCUAGCGAAACGAAAAAGCACCGUCAGAAAAAAAGUAGCGGAAUAAGAACAAAAAAUUGAUAUACAGAAGAAAACCAAAAGAUCUUUCCACAGAAAAGUGGAAAGACCUAUUAAAUGAAAUAGAUCUACACACACAAAACCCAAAUGAUGAUUCAGCAAUGAGGAGGGGAUGGGGCUAGCCUAAAAUUGUUUGUUUUUGUGUAACGAAUGAAGCUUCAAUUAUUGAUAAUUUAUGCAUGUUGUUACAUGAACAAUAUUAAUCGAUUAAACAUAUAUAACGAUCUACAAGAGCAAUCGAAGUUCAAGAGUGGUGAUGGUUUAUCAUUAAUUUAGAAAAAUCCUUAAUUACUGUCAUACAGGCAAUCAAGACUUUGUAUUUACAUGUAUGCAAAUAUCGUUCCAUAAAGUGUAAAAUCAGAUAGCCAUUUUUCUAGUUAUCUUAUCAAUUAAUUAAAACAGGUUGAAAUGAAGAAUGUCAGUAACUGCUAGUAGUUAAUCUUAGUUUCUUUUGUAACCCAUCCUGACAUCGGGCUGAGUUUUACAGUGCGUAUUGCUAUGCGUUUCUUUAUUCUACAUUUUUUUAUGUGCAUUGGCUAGAGGUAUAGGGGAGGGUUAAGAACUCACAAAACAUGUUUAAACCUGGCCUUUGUAAGUCUCGUUUUUUUUUUUAUAUUUAGUUCAUUAAUAUGUUUUUGAGUUUAGUGUGACGUCCAUUGUCACUGAACUUGUACACGGUUUUAUUUAGCCUAAGGGGUUAACAGCUGAGGACCACCUUCGGUGCGGGAUUUUCUCGCUGUGUUGAGUAACCGUUGGGGUCUACGGCCGUAGUCUGCUCUUUGGUCGGAGAGUUGUCUCUUUGACAUAUUCCCCAUUUCCAUUCUCAAUUUAAUGCAAAAACACUUACAAAGACAACGAUACAUCAUUGCGUAACGCAAACUUAUCUUAUUAAAUAGCUAGGAUCCAUUUAAACCUAUGCCUUAUGGUAAUCAAUUUAAAACUGUAGUAAAACUUAUGAAUAUACAUAUUGGGUACUCUCAGAUAUUCUAAAUUCCGAUACCAAUUUAUGAAUAAUUAUGGAACUACAUCAUUACUAUGCACUUAUGUUUUAUCAUUGCGCAAUGUCGUGUUCUUUUCGUGUACUUUUACGACGCCAUUUCAAUAAAUCCGUUAGAUGUAUUCUGAUAAAUACUGUAGUCUGGGAGAACACGAUUUAUUCAGUAAUUCAAGUUAUUAUCAACUUUGAGGUAGCUUUCAAUCUUCGGUACUAUGUCUUUAUUUCAAUACUAGGUGUUUGUUGAUUGGUGCCAAUUUGACGAAUCAGGUAAUUUCCUUGACCAGUUAAUUUCAAUACGGAUUGUGCUUAUGUUGCGUUAUUACAUCACCAUCCAAGUUAAGAGGAGAGUCCAAAAACACAUGUAACCUCGCCAUAUUAGUUAGGUGUCAGGAGCCUGUUAUUUAGUGGUUGUCGUUAAAGUCUGUUACAUACUUGUUUCGUAAAAAAUCUGGCGCUACGUUUUCUCGUUUUACGUUUCUUUUGUGGAAGGGACUUUACAUACACCAGCUGCCACAAUUGUACGGUAUGGGGUUAUUUCAUCUGUUUUAUUUUGGUAUCGGUUGGAUAGUUGUCUCAUUGGUAAUUAUAUCACGUCUUCUCAUGUCUAUGUACAUACACAUACAUAAUAAUCAGACAAUGACUGGAUUAUGCCAAUCCUUGUAUCUAAAUCUACAAAGUAGGACAGUUCUUAUAACAAGAUUUAAUUUAUAUCUACAAUUCUUUACUUCUGCUAUCUAUAAACCCUGGAGUAAUGUACAAAUGUAUACACAAUGGUAAAUAAUCUUAGUUCUAUCGAUACAUUAAAAAAAGGUUCCGACAGAAUUAAAUGUUUUAUUAAUUUAAUUUAAAGUUUUUUAUGAUUCUAUUUUUGAGAAUGCGUUUGAGUAAGAUGAAUUUUAUGAAUUUUUAUUUAUCAUUAGAUAUCUUAAAUAAUUCACCAAAUUCAGUAUAGUUUUCAGGUUUUCGUUUUCCGAGAUUUUAUAAAAACAAUCUUAGUUUUUGACUAAAAAUAGCCAGUUUUGCUAUUAAAUCUUCGAUGUAAUCUUUUUGAGAUACAUUUUAUAAAUCUUCAGUUUCCGCUUUUUUGAGAUACAAUCUUUAUUUUUGUUGAACUUACUUAUUUUAAUCAUAAAGGUGUGUAAGGUUCCGUAUAUAAUUAAAAUAGUCAUGUGUCAAAUAUAGAGUUAUUCAUGUACGGGGGUAAAAGAUAAGACUCUAUCGAUAACAUAAAUAUUAGAAUUUUCAAGUUUUUAAAGAUUUCGGUAUUAAAAGUACCGCUGGUCACAAAGCGCAAAAGGGUUUUUUGUUGCAAUUUCAUUGAUGUUUUUAGACUUUCCUACAAAGAUUGAUUGGCCACCGAUUUAACAUACAGGUACAGGUUUCAAGGAAAAAAUAUGGAAGCAAACUUUUUAAACAAAUACCUUGUCGACAAAUAGAUAUGUCUCGUCUGAUGUAAUUUUAUUGUAAAAAGCAAAUUUUAAAUUAUAAUUACACCUUAUGUAAGAAUCCUGGGUUUGGAUUGGUUGACAGCCAGUGUUUUUUUCACCAUUUCACUCUUACCAAAUGAAUAUCGUUUAUUUUUUAACUUCGCCGGGGUAUUUGCAAAAAGAAUAUGCCUUUUUUACCCUCUCUUCCGUCUGAUGUAAUUUUAUUGUAAAAAGCAAAUUUUAAACAGAUAUAUCAUGUCAAGGAGGGGUAUUUGUGAAAAAUACCAGUCGAGAGAAUGUUAAAUUUCGCGAGCCGUAAGGCGAACGAAAUACAUUCUCAAGACUGGUAUUUUUCGCAAAUACCCCUCAAGAACAUGAUACAUGUAUAUCUGUGUAAUUACACCGAAUGUUAAUGUACUAAAACGCAUUGAUGAUCGUGACGUUACAAGCGUCCAGUCGGAUAGAGUAUUUUUUGGCAAAUACCACGGCAGAGAGGGUAAAAAAGGCAUAUCCUUUUAGCAAAUACCCCGGCGGCGUUAAAAAUGAACGAUAUUCAUUUGAUAACAGUAAAUUGGUGAAAAAUACACUGGCUAUUAACCAAUCAAAACCCCGGAUUCUUACAUAAGGUGUAAUUAUUUGGCAAAUACCACGGCAGAGAGGGUAAAUAAGGCAUAUCCUUUUGGCAAAUAUCCCGGCGGCGUUAAAAAAUGAACGAUAUUCAUUUGAUAAAUAAUUACACCUUAUUUUAAAAUUUCUGGGUUUUGAUUGGUUGAUAGUCAGUGUAUUUUUCACCAAUUUACUGUUAUCAAAUGAAUAUCGUUUAUUUUUUAAUGCCGCCGGGCUAUUUGCAAAAACGAAUAUGCCUUUUUUACCCUAUCUGCCGUGGUAUUUGCCAACAAAAACUCUAUCCGACUGGACGCUUGUAACGACGAUCAUCAAUGCGUUUUUCAACGUUAACAUUCGGUGUAAUUUUAAAAACAGAUAUAGCAUGUUCUUGAGGGGUAUUUGCGAAAAAUACCAGUCUUGAGAAUGAAUUUCGCCUUACGGCUCGUGAAAUUUUACAUUCUCUCGACUAGUAUUUUUCGCAAAUACCCCUCCUUAACAUGAUGUAUCUGUUCAAAAUUGCAUUUACUUUAACAUAUAAUCGUUGCAAAACAUUAAAUGUCAACAAACCGUGACCGAAAUUACACUGUCAAAUUAUCUACAUGAGAUAUCCAAAUGCUAUAACAAUUGCAUACCUAAGAUCAGUGACCAUUUUAAUUACUUUGGGUGGAUCUCCUUAAACUAACAUUAUUUAAAACUAUAACAUUUAAACUAGGCAAAAAUGUCAUAGUCGAUAGGACAAAACUAAGGGGGGCAAGACAAAACAACCUUCAGGAAAAAGUUAUGUGCCAAUGAGCAAAAAUAGGGGGCAAGACAAACCAACCUUCAGGAAAAAGUGUGCCAAUGAGCAAAAAUAAGGGGCAAGACAAAACAACCUUCAGGAAAAAGUGUGCCAAUGAGCAAAAAUAAGGGGCAAGACAAAACAACCUUCAGGAAAAAGUGUGCCAAUAAGCAAAAAUAGGGGGCAAGACAAAACAACCUUCAGGAAAAAGUUAUGUGCCAAUGAGCAAAAAUAAGGGGCAAGACAAACCAACCUUCAGGAAAAAGUGUGCCAAUAAGCAAAAAUAGGGGGCAAGACAAAACAACCUUCAGGAAAAAGAUAUGUGCCAAUAAGCAAAAAUAGGGGGCAAGACAAAACAACCUUCAGGAAAAAGAUAUGUGCCAAUAAGCAAAAAUAGGGGGCAAGACAAAACAACCUUCAGGAAAAAGAUAUGUGCCAAUGAGCAAAAAUAGGGGGCAAAUCAAAACAACCUUCUGGAAAAAGAUAUGUGCCAAUGAGCAAAAAUAGGGGGGGGGGGGGCAAGACAAAACAACCUUCAGGAAAAAGAUAUGUGCCAAUGAGCAAAAAUAGGGGGGCAAGACAAAACAACCUUCAGGAAAAAGAAAUGUGCCAAUGAUAAAAAAAACAUUCAAAUCAAAUAUCAUUGACAUACCAUUAGUGGUUUCCCUUAAAUAAACCGUAACAAAAACUUUAACAAAUUAUUGUCGUCACCGCAUCUCAUAACAUAUUGAAGCACCAGGCACUACAAUUAAGCCUAGUUUCUUAAUAACUGACUCGUUAUCACACCUGUAUCAUAACGUUUACGGAUAAGCUCCCUUGUAUCUUCGAUGAGCUAUUACUCGACGCUGAUGUUGACAAGUUAGACUCUAAAAGAGGGGAUUGUCAUCAGUGGCUGAUCCAAGGGGGUGGGGGUCGUUGACGUUCAAUGCAUUUGAAUUGAAUAGGGUUAUGAUUGAUCCCCCACCCCCUCUUAUAAAAAUGACUGAAUUCGACCCUGGUCAUCUAUUAUCGAUUUGAUGUUGACCAAGUGUUUAUCAAUGUUAGUAUCAUUGCAAGAUGGACUGAGAGAUUGAUGUUAAUGCAAAUUAAGGAAAUUAAGAGACAAAGACAAAUACGAGGGAUAAUGUAAGCUAACGUCAUACAAUUUUAUGUCAUGUAGCGGGAGUACACUUUAAAUAUCCGUGCAAUCAAUCUUUGAUCCGUAAAGGUCCGUAGUUAGACUGUUGCAAGGGUAAGGUUCUCUCCUCAUCAAAUGUAUCACCAUUUUCAAGUGGCAUUCUAAUUUUGUCGCUUUUUAUCUGGGUUGAACCCAUUUUAGGACUUACCUAUUGUAUUAAUUGUUAAUAUGUUCUCGUCCAAUAUUUGCAACUUGACAUUAUGUAAGCAAGAAUAAAUCAAUCAAUUUGUUUAAUGUAUAUUGGAAAAAGUAGCAAUGCAGAUAUAUAUAAUCACUUGUAGUAAUUACAAAAAAACAUUGAAUUCGAUAUUAUUUGAAUAGUCUAAUAAAGUUAAACAAAUCUUCAGAAUUGAAUCCGUAAAAGGAGAUUAAUACCAACUAAAUGGAAUGAAAUUAAACAUGGCAUGGACGUUCCCUUUGAAGUGCUGACCAAGUGUUGUUUCUUUGAAGACGAUAAUCAUCCAAGAUGGACACCAGCGGUGGACUUUGUUUAAAAAUAAGACCCUAGGGACCAUACAUACCAAUGUAUUCUUUUUGAGCAACACUGAAUGGAAUGAAACCAAUCCGAGCAUGAAUGUUCCUAAUGAGGUGCUGACCAAGUCAUGUUCAAUGUGUGCAUAGUUUCGCAGACCUAGUUUUAAACCUGUAGAAGGGGUUUAUUGCAAAAAUAGGCACCAUUUCCCGCUCGUCAACACGUUUACCCACCAAUCGCCCUACAACAAUACAAACUUUCAUCAUAUAAAAUUCAUUGAGACCGUUCUACAUAAUGCGCAACCCAAUUGAAAAGAUCUCACCCGGAGAAAGACCCACUCAAAUUACAACUUAAGCCUCAGUCUAUUGAUUUUAAAAAUGUAAAAAUAAAAUAUACCAAGUAUAUUAAGCUUUCAAUUGAAAAUGGAGGACAGAUGAUUUCUUUUUCUUUUCCAUUCAUUAUCUUUUCUCUCGGUUUUUAUUCCCUGUUUCUCCUCUACAUCAUUUCCUUUCUGCAACCUCCUUUACCCUCUGUCCGUGUUCAAAACAAAGGAAAUAUUACGAAAUUGAUGAUAGCUAUUUCUUACGUAAUAUGUUAUGGAACAUUCGUCAUACAUGUAUAAGGAAAACUUAUAAUGAAAUUGUCCAAAUAAUAUUUUCAAAGAGACGUCUGAUGUACGUACGGAACAUAAAUUCGUUGACAUCAGCACUGUGUAGUUUAAAACAAAAUUCAUUAUACACAGGCAAUUUCAAUUAAUUUCUAAAUCAUAUUUGUGUUUGAUACGAAAUUCACAUUUUAAAGUCUAACAACCGCAGCGUUGAGUAUAUCAAAAUGAAAAUUAAAGGCGAAUGAUACCAGAGGGUCAUUCAAACCCACAUGUAGAUAAUAAACUGACAACGCAAUGAACAAACUUCCCAAAUAAACAGACAAACAAUAGUACACAAAACACAACAUAGAAAACUAAAUACUGAGUAAUACAAUGUACGAACCCCACCAAAAACUUGGGGUGAUCUCAGGUGCUCCAGAAGGAUAACAAACCCUGUUCCACAUGUUGCACCAAUCGUGUUAAUCAUGUUUAUUCCAACCCGAUAUUUAGUCUUAUUCGGAAGGUUACAUUCGGGAAAAGAGGACAGGAUCGUUGUUCCGUCAUGAGCAUAUAUGCUAUCAUCUUUUGAAACGCAUAUUCCUUAACGACCAACCAACUCGCGAUGUCGUCCGUAAGACUUACGAAGAGAUGAUUCCAGAUAAUUAUAUAAUAACUUUAAAAUAAAAAAAAACAAAACAAAACAAAACAAAAAAAAAAAAAAAAAACAACCUACCAGUUAUUGAUACAAAUUUUCCAAUUUUCGCUUUACAAAUUUUUCGAUUGAAAAUAGACUAAAAACAAGAGAAUAACAAAAUAUGAAAUGAUAAGGAACUAUUAAUGAAAACCAGUUUUAAUAUUAAUUUCCAUAAACUGUCAAUAAAGUUUUCCUCUUUCGCUAUCAUUAUUUGCAAUGGUCCAUUGUUCUUUUCACAAUCAAAGGAUAGUACUCUUAUAAAAUUGUUACAAAUAUAGAACAACCGGAAGAAGGGCCUUUUGUUCAUUUAUAGUUUAUACUUCGGUGAUACAUUUAAGAUUUUUUUCUGAGUUAUAUUUUAUACAAUGAUUAUUGUAUUUUGCCGAAUAUUAGUAACAAGUAAUUAUAUCGUGUUAUUUCGGCAUUAUAAAUAAAUCAUUUUAUAAUUAAUUUUAUAAAUUUCCCGUUACAAAACUUUGAAUUUUUCGAAAAAAAACAAGGAUUUUCUUAUCCCAGGAAUAGAUUACCUAAUCCGUAUUUGGCACAACUUUUUGGAAUUUUGGGUCCUCAAUUCUCUUCAACUUUGUAUUUGUUUGACUUUACAACUAUUUUGAUAUGAGCGUCACUGAGGAGUCUUAUGUCGACGAAACGCGCGUCUGGCGUAUUAAAAAUUAUAAUCCUGGUACCUUUGAUAACUAUUGCAACUCAGAAAUCAAAAAUCAUUUCGUAAAGGUUGUAACAGUAUUAAAACAUUUGACUUUUCUACUCUUUACACAAGAAUUCCACAUUCCAAACUAAAAGACAAAAUAAAAGAGUUGGUAUUACUUUGCUUCAUAAAAAAGAAUGGCCAACGUAGAUACAAGUUUCUUUGUCUUAGGAGGGAUAAUCAUACUUUGUAAGAUCACUCGAUUCACAAAAAAUUCUCUGACCGAUAUUACAGAUGCUGAUUCUGACUGACAACAUAUUUUGUAACUUCGGAGGACGGUUUUCAACAGACUGUCGCAUCCCAAUUGGAACAAAACUGUGCCCUCUACUGCCGAUUGUUCUUUAUUAUUAUGAGCUGAACUUCAUCAGAACUUCUUAGGAAGGAAGAUAAGAAGUUGCAAUAUCCUUUAACACUACUUUCCGCUAUAUAGAUGACGUUAAGUAGCAACAUUCCAGCAGCACCUGCAUAGGGGUAUAUAUCUCCCAAUUAUAUGAUAUUCCCGUGCUUGCAUUUCCUAUCAUGAUUUUCUUGAUAGAGGGUUAUUGCUCACAAAAAGCUAUUAAACCAGAGUUCAAAUGGUGAAGUUGAAAUCAUCCCUUCGUAAAUUUUACGGACGCCAUCACGAGUUGGUUGACGUUAUGGAAUAACCAUUUCACAAUAUAUCGGAUAUGUUCCUUACGUCGUAACUACAAUCCCCUUCUCUUUCAUGAAUGUGACCGACCGAAUUAGACUAUUUACCGGAUUUGUAAUCACAUAAGCACACGACGGUGCCAUGUGGAGCAGGAUCUGCUUACCCUUCCGGAGCACCUGAGAUCACCCCUAGUUUUUAGUGGGGUUCGUGUUGUUUAUUCUUUAGUUUUCUAUGUUUGUCAUGUGUACUAUUGUUUUUCUGUUUGUCUUUUUCAUUUUUAGCCAUGGCGUUGUCAGUUUGUUUUUAGAUUUAUGAGUUUGACUGUCCUUUGGUAUCUUUCGUCCCUCUUUUAUCUUUAUUUUAUUGGCCUAAAAAGGUCUGGGAGUUUAUCGAUGAUUAUGUGACCAGGGAAAAAGCAGCUUCGUUUAUCAUUUUGGACUUGAAUAUAACAUUCUCAAUUUUGGUAUUAUAGACUUUAAUUCUAUGUGUUUUAUAAUUCAUUUAAUUGCAUAUUUUCGGUUCUAUUUACAUUUCGUAUCCAGGACAUAAAAUCAACAUGCUUUAAUAUGCAUUUAAUUCUCAGUUUAGACUUGAGUGACAUGUUAUAAAAUAUACUCUGUUCUCUAAUUAGUGACAUUUUACCUUAUUCAUAAUGUAUGUUCUUACAUUUAAUUGUCAUAAUCAGAUUGUCAUUUAAUAUUUAUUCUUCAAGUUCUAAAAAUAGUUUAAUCUUGUCAGUGAACAAUAUUACUCAAAUUAAUUGUUAUUUUUUAUGUCUAUGUUCCGGACCAUAUGAGUAUUUGGACCAUACGCGUAUGGUCAUGAUCGUGACCAUAUGGGUAUAUUUCAUAUGGUCCGACCAUACGCGUAUGGUCCGACCGUACGCGUAUGGUCGGGGUUAUUAACACUCUGUACAGUUUACCUUUGAAACUCAAACUCUACAUAUGGCAUGACCGUUCAUUAAAAGACGCUAUCAUAUAGGUAAUUUAUUAUUAUAUUAUAUAAAGAUUAGCUAAAUAAUAAGUUUUCACAUAGUUAUUUUUAUUACUUGUCAAAACUAUAAUAAACAUAUUUAUACCGAUUGUCAUUACCGAUUCAUUACGAUUUAUUCGAGUAAAUGGCAAUAUGUCGACUUAAAUAUAAAUCCAAAUUCAUAUUGAACUGUUACACAAGAUUUCACUAGAAAGUAACAUAGUUUGUUUAAGUUGUCUUGUGAAUAUGGUGUAUUGCAGUCAUAUUACGAUAUUUGAGAUCUAGAGCUUCUUAAAAACACCGUAGACAUAUCGGAAUGGCCCGCGAACUCAGUAUCUCUGUACGCAGCUAAAAAAGGCUAGCUUUUAACUCGCAAACAAAAGGUGUAAAUCAAAAGGAUCGUGCACAACCAAGACUUGCAACUGCAAAAAAGCUAUAAUACCGCGUGGAAGUAAAUGUCACCCCAAGCCUACAUGCAAGAAUGUAAUUAGCGAUGAAAACUAACUAUUGCAUCAAUAUUUAAUUUUUACGUACAGAAUUUGAAUUAUAAAAACCAACAUUGUUUUUUUAGAUAAAGUGUUUGUAUUUUUGAAAUUUUUAUAAUGUAAUUUUAAAAAAAAAUACCUAUAUGGUCCAAAUACUCAUGUGGUCAGGCCCGUUAAUAACCGAACGAGUAUUAUGCUCAUAUGGUCGACCAUACGCGUAUGGUCGGACCAUAUGAGUAUACGCAUAUGAUCAUGACCAUACGCGUAUGGUUCAAAUACUGAUAUGGUCCGGAACAUCUAUACUUGUCAAUAAUGUUGUGUAUAAAUACGUGUUGAUUAUUUCGAUAAGCAAGAUUUGAACUCAGGACUUUACACUGAACACAGUCCAUCUGUAAUAAAAGUAUUAGUAUUCCAUGCUGAGUAUUGGUUUAUUCAUCGCUAGUUCCAGAGUCUUACAAGUUAGGUUUCACCAGUAUUGAGAGUUCUCAUUGCUAUUCACAGCAAUCGUUCGUUGUGUGAUGAGGUGCAUCACACAAUUUCCGUAACAAGAGGCCAUUAAUUCAGGCUCUUGUUAGACAACCUCACAAGUCACCCAGUUUCCCCGGUGACAAUAAUCCAGAAUUGAUUAUAAAACACAGCAAAAAUUAAACCAAUACAUAAAACUUUACCUAGCUAAAGUACACCUUAAAGUCUCUGAGAAUCCUGAUACGCGUAAUUCACGGGUAUCAUUCAGUUUGUUGAGAGAAAUGACCUUGAGAGGAUAACUAACGGUGGCCAAGCAUUGUGGUAUAGAAUCGUGAAUGAAAUAUUAUCGAGAAUAAACUCGCUCCAUCAGGAAAUAAUCUGUUUAAAUCGUUAUGACAAAUAUUGGAAAAAUAAAACUGUAUGUCAAAAUGGUUAGUAUCCCUGAAAAAUCUAGAACCAAAAGAAAUAAAAAUGUAAACAAACAGAACUUUUUUUUAUGCAUAAACUUCUUUUCUCCUAGAAAUAUCGUUCAAAAUUGCUGUUUGAAAUAGUUCUAAAAGUUAUUUUGAUUAAGUUUAUUCAGAAACAUUGCAAAAAAUAUAAUAUGUUUAAACACAGCUAUUGUACGUUAAGCUGUGUUGUAUGUCUGUGAUGUAUACGCUGAUGGAUGCCAAAUAUGACCACGUGCUCAUGACUUUCUAAAGCGGUGUCCACGACCUUUAAGGUCUGGAGCGCAUCACUUUUAAACUGUUGGGCAUGACUAUCAAAAUGACCUUUAAACUGGCGCGCCCGACAUUCAAAUAUGGUGUGCAAGACUUUAAAAAACUGGCGCACAUAGCUUUCAGACUUGUUCGUAUGACUUUCAAUUAAACUUGCGUUCAUUUAAACUGUUUCGCAUUACUUUCAAACUGACGUGCACGACUUUCAAAUUGGUGCACACGACAUUUAAACCCGUUUCAACCAGUUUAAAAGUAGAGCAAACCAAAUUUGAAAGUUAUGAGCACCAUUUUUAAAAUGUCUUUUGAACGACCUUUCAAACUAAUGCACACCAGCUUAAAUGUUCGGCAAACGUGAUUAGUUCUAUAUGUACUUGGCACUUAUUAGGCUUCUCUCAUAUAACAUAUACACUUACCCGAAAAAUUUAAUAAAAAUUAAAAUACAUAUACAAGGGUAUACGCUACAGACCUUGUGUUUACGAUUUUAGCAUUUCAGAAUGGUUUACAGAUAUAUAUAUGUUCCAGACCAUAUGAGUAUUUGGACCGUACGCGUACGGUCCGGACCGUAUACGUAUACUCGUACGGUCCGACCAUACGCGUACGGUCGGACCGUAUGAGUAUACGCGUAUGGUCCAGUACGAGCUGACCAUACAUGUUAUUAGAUCAUAUGGGUUAAAUUUAAAAAAAUUAACAUUAAUCACAAUCUUUAUUUUCAGAUUUACUAAUUUAAUAUUAUUACAACUACACGGAUAAAAUGAACAAAUGAACAAUUGAAAUUAAAUAUUUGUUUAAUUGUAUAUCUUGAUCCUAAUUUUGGUAUCAACCAAUGUUACACUUGCUACCACAAGUAACGUACUAAUGUUUUUUACAUUUACAUUUUUGCAGUUCGUGUAUGUUCCUUAGCAAAAAUAUUUUUUGGUAAAGAUGCUAUAUAUUCUAAAACAAUUGUCCUCCCACAUUAUAUUUACUUCCGAUAUUUUCAAUUUUAGUGAUCAUAAUUCAAUUAUUUUACUGAGUGAUUGACAUGUUAAAUACAAGAGAUUAACAGAUUCAAUUAGCGUUAUUUUAAAUCAUUAAAAUAACUAGUUGUUUUUUUUCAAUUACAAUUAAACUUUGUUAUAUCUAUUUGAGAGUUAAGUUAUAUUGAUCUGUUAUAUGGAUCUAAUUAACUUUGACAACUUCUUAAUAAUAGUCAGACCGUACGCGUACGGUCGGACCGUAUGAGUAUUUGAAAAAAGUACGCAUACGGUCCAGACCGUACGCGUACGGUCCAAAUUCUCAUACGGUCUGGAACAUAUACAUACAAGCAAUAAUAUAAAAAAAUAUUUAUCCUCAGUGUUUGUUGUGAUUCAUAUAAUUUUAUUCUAUAUGUCAUUUUAUUUUUAAAUGCUCAACGUGUAUGGACAAUUUAAAUUAUUGUAUAUUUCUAUACACUUAUUAUUAAAGAUACAAUGGUUAAUUAUUUAAAGAAAAACUAAUUUUGUAGUUAUUGCAAAUCAUAUAUAGUAUUCUCAUGUUUCUUUAUUACACAGGUAAUAGAGCUCAAACCGAAAUGAAAAGACUGACAGGUAAGGAGGACCGAAGUAAUGGUAAUUUGUAAAUAACUAACUAGAAUUCAUCUUUAAUUCCUAAUUUGUUGGAAAUAAUGCGGAAAAAUUAAUCGUCUUCUGUUUGCCGCUAUGUAUUUUUUUCCCUUUCCAAAGAAUCCCUUACUAUAUAAGUUUAUUUAAAAGCCCCGUGAUAGGUUUUUGUUUGCAACCUAAUAGUCUAAGAAACCUGUUGGUGCGGGUUGAAUAAUCAGAGUUUAAGUUUAAGUUUAAGUCCAGAAAGCUCAAUAUGUUCUAUUCUUUACAUAAUGGGACUGCCCCUGAUUAUCUCUGUGAUUUAAUGCCCACACUUGUUGGUCAAGUAUCUAACUACGAUUUGCGAAUCAGUAAUACUUAUGUAGUACCCGGUUAUAGACUAGACAUAACUAGAAAAUCCUUUUCCCCAUCCACUACUAUUGAAUGAAAUAGCCUUAACCCCGACAUACGUACGUCCAAAAAUAUAAAUAUUUAAAAAAAAAAGAUGAAGUCCAAAUUGAUACAGCCACCUUCCUAUUUUAGUUGUUUGGAUAGAAAACUUAAUAUAAUUCAUACACGUUUGAGAAAUAUGUGCAGCUCUUUAAAUUCAGAUUUACAUCGUGUUAAUAUUAAACCUAGUUCCGCAUGCAGCUGUGGCCACUCUGUGAGGAUAGUAUACACUAUUUUUUAGAGUGCGCUUUUCACAAUGAAGCAAGAAAAAAUACUGUUUUCAAAAUUAGGAAUAUAUGCUAUAUCCAUUGAGCCUCUAUUGACUGGUGACGGUGACCUUUCUUUUCAGGAAAACAAAGACAUUUUUGAGUCCGUAAAUCUUAUAUCGGAAUAACACAAAGAUUUAAAGCAAUCAAUUAACAUUUUAAAUUUCUACUUUACAACCCUUCACUCCAGUCCAGUUUUUCAUUAUUAUUCUUUAUUAUAUUGUAUUUUGUUUUCUUUUUAUUUCUAAUUUUCGUUUGUAGUAUAUAUUACAUGCAUUCUACUAUGUUUUUUCGUCAUAAUCUAAUGUACUUUGUGUUUAUAUUUAUAUUGGGAAAGGACACCUCUAAUGUUGUUAUAACUUGUGUCCAAUCCCUUUUGCUACUUUUGAAAAUAAAAUAUGUUUAAACUGAAUAAUCUGAACCGAGUACCAGUACUGCAUUUGGUCGUUCGUAUGAGGACUAACACUGAAAACGUUGCCUACAGAUGCAUCACUCAUAAACAUUCAACAAUAACUAUCAUGGAAUAUAAUGCAAUGUGAACUUCAAAAUUAUGAUUCAGAUUUGCAUUCUAGAAUAUUCAAAUUGUGACCUCCAAUGUGCUGAUGUAUAAGUCAAAGCAGCAAUUUCACAAACGCCGCAAUAUCGGCAAGAACCCACUUCUCCUAGUUGUCGAAUAUUUUUGACAGUCUAGUCAUAAACUUGAUUCUUAUAGGUUGCAUAUCUGAAAAUAUCUGCAAUGCAAUUACACAUAGGAACCCCUUUUACAGCAAACACUGUACCACUUUUAUUAUGCAGUUUUGAAAAAAAUAUAAAUCCUAGAAUGGAAGUUCAAAGGCACUACUAUUUUUUCAAAGGUCAAAAUAUAGGGCUGUGCGGCAUAUUUUUAACGUUUAUAUACCCCGAAAUUCUAAGAGUUUGAACUUACAAUAAAAUUCUAUACUAGUACCCUUACCUUGACUUUAGGAGUUCCACUGAUUGCAAUAUGAAUGAUAUGAAUUCAUGCACAUUUACUGGUAGCAUUCCCAAGUCAUGUCUCUACGAGUUAAAACAUAGACAUCAUUACUGGGAAGUACGUACAGUAAACACAAUUAUUCGUCAUAUAUCUCCACAAAAGAGGCGUGGUUUUAGAAACAGCUGUAUUUAUAAAGUGCAACCCUUAACGUCAUGGAAGUCUUUGUGAUUGAACAAAAUAUUCCAAUGCUGGCAGUGGCGUAGCCAGGGUUAAAUAGAUGUGGAUGCUAAACUGAAAAAAUUUUGGGCCCAUUUUAUGCAGAAAAAGUUAUUUUUCGGAUGAUUUUCCCUGUAUGCAUGAGUACUCCCCUAGAAUCAGAAACUGGCUAAAUUUUUGUUUAAUUCCAAAAUACCUACCAAUAUAUAUAUUUCGAAAAAGAUUUUAUUCUUUUCUCGAAACUGCCUUCAUUUAAUUCAGAAAUAUUUGAUGAAAGAGUUUCACACCAAAUCUUAUAUUUGACAUCUCAAAAACGGACCCAUUACAGCGGCACUUAUUUAUUUAUGGAACUUCGAAAUAUAGGAAGCGGAAUUUGAUCCAACCCAUGGGUUGUUUGAUUACUUGUCUUAACGCGUUAUACAGGGUUCAUGGAAAUAUCGGGCGUCCGUCCUGUCUUGUUAACGCUGUAAUGUGUGUACAAUUCUUGCAAGGUUUGUGUGAAACUUAUAUCAGAAAUGUCUUUGACAUUAACUAAAAUAAGUCCUGAUUAAAUAUUUUUAACCAAUUAUAUAUAUAUGCCCCGUGGAAACAUAAAAUGACAAUGGAAAUCCUAUUCCGCUUGCUAGAUGAAGCUUUUAUUUCUCUUGAGCAUGUUGAAUUUAAAUAAAUGUAAAGAAAAAAGUGUUUUUUAGUUAUUGCCCUUGUAUCUUGGAUAUAUAAAAUAUGUGCAAUGCGGGAACAUUGAAACUCUGUUAUUUUAUUGAAAAUAAAAUUGAAUAUUUGAACCUAAACAGAAAUGGGUAUUUAUCACACUCCAUUACAGUAAAUACUAGUAGAGUUUUUAUAUCGUCGUCUUUCAUGUCACAGGAAACCAUAUCGGGAUAUGAUUGUUUAGUUGUUAACUCGUAAUCUUGCUAUGUCAUCGCUUUGCUUGACUCAAUUUUAGACUGAACAAGUCUGCAGGUCUGUGUAUCAUCACCAUCUGCGCUUGCCGCAGCCGACUGCGCGUUACGACGUAAACUUUUACGAAAAAGUCGAAAGCACUUUUCUGCAAUUUAUCCAUCUUGUUUAUAUAAUCUAAACGAUCCUAAAGGAAAAACCAUGCAUACUGCUUCGGAAAUGAUUGGACGCUGUUCUCAUAUCCUCACCAUUGAUACAUUCGGAUACCUCCGUGUGUAUCUGCUGUGAACACAUGCAAUCAUAUAAUUUAUUUUUUGUCAACAUGAUGUGGAUGCUUGAGCAUCUGAGCAUACAUGCAAGCUUCGCCACUGGCUGCCCAGCAGCGAGAGUUUCUAGAACAUUUCUAAAUAAGGGAUAAUCAAAUAGAAUUGAACAUACAUUUGUAAUUCAUCCAAACGGCGUCCUUUGGAAGUACUUGCAGUUUGAUUGAGACGCUCAUCUGAAAUUAUAUAAAUAUAUUUACAUUUACCACUACAUUUUGAAAUUUAUGAUAUAUUAAGUUAAUACACAGCAACGUCUAUAUGGAAGAGCAUUGCCCGACAGGUUACUGGACAGUAAAACACUUGCCAAAGUGGGUUGUCCGUUUUUGGCUGUGCGGGAUGUACGCAACCACGGUCAGAAUGAUGACGUCAAAUUUUAUGCUUCUUAUAAAAACCCACCACGUUUUCUGUAACUCAAGAUUCUUUGAAACAACCGGCAGUCUUUUAUGAGUCCGUAGAUGGCUAAUUGCAAUGCAGAUUUCUGUCCCUAUCUACAUGCUAAUUUGUCAUAAUUUCCCCCGAUAUUCAUCCCUGAUGGUCUCUAUUACAUGACAUACCUACUGUAUUGUUAAUCUGUGCUUGUCCUGAACAUGCAUGCAAUAUUUGCCACCGGACGUUAAGCAACCAGCAAUCAAUCAAUUAAUACGGUUUUGAGUUUUGAUUUGCUUGAUGGGGUAUUUAAUUUUAGAUUUUAUCAAUAGUUAAAGAUUUACCUGUAUUAUAGAGCUAUUUUAAACAUGAUCAACACAUAUAAUUGUAUACGUUUGACACCUUUCUAAAGCCGAAAUAUUUGUCAAUACGAUUUUAUAAGAAUAUAAACUCGUCGUAAUUACCAAUGUAUAAUUAUAUCGUACCCGAUCUUUUGAAUUAUACAUAAUUAUAUGAAAAAUGCUCCGUUGCUGCGCAGACGACCAGGAACAUAUACAAGUUUCUAUAUAGCUGGUCUUUUUAUAGAUUUUAUACUUUAAUAUUAUCAUGCUUAUGUAUUUAUCAUGUUUAUAGCUGAAAGAAUAUCUGAUAAAAUGUAAGUUUUUCAUUCGUCUUUAGUUUAAUUUGAUCAUAAGAAUUCGUUUUUUCCCUACAUAUAUUAUUGUUUUAUAUAUACCAAAUUGUAACAAAUCAAAUUAUAUAUUUUCAAUAAAAAACGUGAAGUGUUGUACGCACCUCUAUCAAAACCCCAAAGUAAACUUCUUUAGUUUUGGUUUAUACUUCCUAAUAGUAAUUCAGAAUGAAAGGGUAGCGAAACAAAAAUGUUAUUUUAGGCAUAAUUAUUUCCAAUUUUUACAUUUUAACAACGCCAGCCAUGUUUGAACCCGAGACUUAUGCCAACGGUCUACACAAUGAACAUGGGUGUGUUUUAUUAUCGUCCACGGUCAAAAUAACAACUGCUGGACCAUGUGGUCAUCAGUAUGGUGGCAAUACUACACACAUGUCUCAUUGAUUAAUAAUAGUGCUUCAUGGUGCAUGGAAUAAUGGGUCUUCCGCUAUGUAUUUAGGCGUUUUCUUACAAUUUAUCUAAUCAUAAAUCAUUCAAUCAAUAAUUCAAUUAAAGGACUCAACAGUUAUUGGAAGGAAAAAACUUUAAAUAAAACUUGUAAUAUUAGAAAUAAUGUGAACUGUAUGAUAUCGUAUUGUAUUACAGGUUUUUGUUUAGUUUUAAUUGUGUUGAAUAAUAUAUAUGUUUUAAAUCCCUUUCUGGCUUUUUGGAUGAUCAGACUUUUUCUCUUGGUUUAGAGCGAGCAACAGAACUUGUACAUCUUAUACAGUUUUCUGAUCUUAAGGUGUGAGCCAAGGCUCCGUAAUGAAGACCGUACCUAGACCUAUAAUAGUUUACUUUGAUAAAUUGUGACUUGGAUGGAGAGUUAUCUCAUUGGCACUCAUUCCACAUCUUCCUAUAUCUAUAUGAUAAGAAAAAUAUUAAAUAAUUCUGUCCAUUGCAAAUUAUCUUUUUUUUUGUGUUCAAUGUCAAUGUUAACAAUUUUGAAGUAUGAAUUAUCUACAUUCUCUUUUUUCAAAUUGUAUUUUAAUGUAAUGCAACGUUAAAUUCUUGUAUAUAAUUUUUUUGUUGGCAUGAAACCAAAAUAUAUUUGUUCUGUUAUAUGGAAUAAUCUCUCCUACCUUUAUAAAAGACCUGGAUCUGUUGAAAGGUUUUGCCUUUUCCAGAAUUUGCCAUUGUUACAUCAAGAAAUAAGGCUACCAAUAUUCAUGCCUGAUGAUCAUUGAUGUCAUAUAUAGAAAGAACCCAUUUCUUUGCAGACCAUAGAAGAAAAACAAAGAUAGUUGGUAACAUACAUGUAUUGUGUAAAAAUACCAAGAGAAACAUUCCCAUACAUAAUCUUUGUCAAUAAGUUAUUUCUUCACUCUUAACAGUCAAAUCUUAAACAUGUAUAUUGAUCGGCAAGCCUCGCAUCUUGAACACAAAAAUGUCUAGAGAAGAAAACGUCUGUUUCACAAUCGAUGCUGUGUUAGAAUGCAUAAUAUCACGUUCCCCCACAUAUGAUCAGCAUACAAAGUGACAAAGAAUCUACAUGUUGAAUAAAUCUCAUAUCUGAUGCAACAUUUUCGCUUCACCAGAGUAAACACUUUCUAUUUUAUAUAUUUUAUACAUUUAUAAAUUGAAUUAAUUAAAGUGUAAUUUUAGAGUCAAAUUAAUAUUUAAAAACUGUUCUUUAAACAACCUACAUGUACAAGCACCGAGUUUAUUUUCAUAACGUAUCCUUCCAUCUAUCAGAAGGGUGUUUUUUGUAUAUUUUUUUUUUAUCUUAAUUGGUGUUUGAAAAUUAAAAAUGUAUAGCAAUUUAUAAAUCCAAGUUUCAGAGAAAUGUAAGUUAUCUAUAAUUUUCUCUUCUUAUAAUUACUUUAAAAAAAAUCCAUAUUCAACCAGUCCACAAAUAUUUUAAUGUUACACGAGUAAAGGAACAUGAAAUAUGGAACAGUUAUACAAGACAGUGUAUAAUUACAGUCAUUAAUUUUACUCCAAUUUACUGUUGUGAACUUGCAAUUUCCUACAAUGCGUACACAUAGUUAUCUCUCUUUGAUCUCCACUUUACGAUAGUCUCGAUUACCCAGACGCAUAUUUAAAUAUAGCUAUACUUCGAAAAAUAAAGUGGCUGGAUGAUCGAGACUACACUUUACGAUGGAAUAAUGUGACACAAUUUUGUAUCCGGUAACUUUCAGAUCGAUUAUAAUUAAAAUCAAAUACCCCAAUGUCUAUAAAUAGGCAUGUAUUUAUAAAAAGAGGGAGAAACAGGAUGUCACCUAUGAACAAAGGCAUUUGACAAAGUCAGUCAUAGUCUCCUGGGGCCUGUUCAUCAAAACUAUCCUAAGUUCCGUCCUAAGAAUUUCUUAGAAUUUCUUAGGACAGAAUUUAGGAUAAAGUUAAGACCGACUAACCCGUCUCAGCAUGCACAUCGAAGCUACAAUGUAUCUUAGGAACAUCUUAGCUAGGAUGUCCUAACCGAUGUCCUAAGUAUUGGCGGAAAAGAAAAUACAAAUUAAAUAUGAAAAAAUUAAAAUAUGAUAUCAUAUAUAUUUUAUUAAUAAUUUGGUUUUUAAAAUAUAAUUAUUAGUUUUAAAUUAAAGAUGAUAAAUAAUUAUCGUAUAAUAUUUGUACAUUAAACUGUAUAUAAAACAAAACAAAAAUAAUAACUACGUAUUAUAUAAAAAUUAAACAAACUAAUUGUAUAUCAUCAUAUAUCAUUAAAUCGGUAAAAAAUAUUUAAUGAUUUUGAGUAAGUUGAAUACGAAGUGUCAAGGCUUCAUUCUUUAACAGUUCAAAGGCAAAUCUCGUGCAUUUUUCAUAUUAAUACGGAGAAUUUCAACUAUUGAAGAUGGAUUGCCAGCUUCUUAUCCCACCGAACGCAAGCAGUAGUAGUGGACGGAGAGAGCUCAUCGCAUAUUGAUGUAGAAUCUGGAGCUCCCCAAGGCUCUGUACUUGGUCCUGCAUUAUUCUUGAUAAACAUCAACAACAUGCCAGAUGGGGUCAAAUCCACUGUCCGCCUAUUUGCUGAUGACACAAUAGCAUAUCUUACCAUCUCGUCUGACACAGAUUCAAACGACCUCCAAAGCGACCUGGCCAAACUGCGAACAUGGGAAGUCAAAUGGAAAAUGUCUUUCCAUCCGGACAAAUGCAACGUUCUUAACAUCAGCCGCAAAAACAACACCAUUCCAACAUCGUACACAUUGCAUGGCCACAAACUUGAACCUGUCAAAAGUGCUAAAUACCUUGGUUGCACCUUCAAAUCCGAACUGAAGUGGAAUUAUCAUAUCAAUAAUAUAUGUAAUAAAGCCAAUAGUACGGGACCAGUAUGAGACCCAUACUUUAAAACCGAAAUAGAUCGUCUAGAAAUGGUCCAGAGACGAGCAGCAAGAUAUGUUUCCAACAAACACCAUAAUCACUCAAGUGUCAGCAAAAUGAUUGAGCACCUGGAAUGGCCAUCUCUGGAAAAAAAGGCGAAAAGACGCUAGACUAACUAUGCUCUAUAAAAUAUAAUACAACAAAGUGGCUGUAACUAAGGAAGGUCGUUUUAUGCAACCAACACGACUGUCGAGAAACACGCACGACAAAAGUUUCCAAAUAACAGCAUCCAGAAGUGUUUACAGGAAAUACUCAUCCGAGAACGAUCAGGGAUUGGAACGCUCUCCCUCCUGGGGUAGCAUCAGCACUGUCAGUCGAGGUCUUUAAAGUAUCGCUGACAAAGCUGAACAAAAUUAUCAAAUUCGGGGGUCUGUAUACGCACCUAAGUCAUGGCAUAAUAAUUAACUCGUUGAUUGUGGCCAUUAUCAGACAGAAGCAGAAGCAGAAGCAAGUACAUUUUCUGUAGAUCAAAGGAUGUUGGCAUUCAAGGAUAAACCUAAAGUAAUCAAAUUUGCGAUACAUGUAUUUUAACAAUAUUUUUUACUAGUAUAAUAUAUUGUACUCCUUGAGAUUAUUAUUACACAUUGAACGCUUUGGUCGAUAAGACAUACCUAUAGCACAAAGCGAUUAAAAGCAUUAUAUUUACCUUGUAAAACUAAUAAAAUGGUCAGUGAUAUUUAUCUACUCGUUUUUAAAGGCUUAUAUAUAAUCCUACAAAAUCUAUACAAAGUGACAGUGGUGAUAAUGGCACUUUCAUUACGUUUACUUUUAUUCGUCUUGAUAAUUUCAUUUUCAAGUUUGAUUAUAUGUCCGUUAUGGUCUCCUUUUACUGUAGCAUAUAUAUUUUUUGUUGGUUUUUGGUUCAAUUCAGUUAUUUCGUCCAAUCAGAAUGAAUAUUUAUGACAUCAUGCAUGCCGUUACCAUAGUGAAGCGUCCCUUUCAAAUGGGUCACACACCGAAAUUCGCGUCUGGCGCAAACACAAAGUUUCAAUCCUGGUAUAUUUGAUGACUUUAUGUCCAAAAAAGAAAUUUACAGAAAACUUAAUUUUCUCUAAAACUUAAACUUAUAAAUUGCUCAGUAUUCAUUGUAUAUUCUCAAACACCAUGUCUCUCUACACAAUGAUUUUCUUUUACCUGUGGAAAGUAUUUUGUUUGACGGCAUUUUGUUCAAGAUUUAGAUUAUUAUAAUAUGUACAUGGCGGCAUUUUUAUCAAGCAAGGACAUGGUUGACUUUCUGAAAUUGUUUAUUAUCUCAACCCUUAUUUUAUUGAUUUUGUAUUUACAUUGUGUCAUGGAUAAAAUGUAAUCAUUCAGUAUAUAUUCACUUGUUUGUUUUCAUAUGUCUUUUGAUUGAGUUAAGCCAUUUCAAUUGAUAUUUUAUGGUAAAUUUACAUGUAUGUCUUUCUAUGUUGUUAUGCUACACUAUAAGUUUAGGUAAGGGUGAAGGUUGGUACGUAUUAAAACGUUUAAACCCACUGUAAUUGUUUGCACCUGUCCUAAGUCAGGAACCUGAUGUUUAGUGGUUGUUGUUUGUUAUUUUGGUACAUAAAUGUUUCCCGGUUCUUGUUUUUUAAUAUAAUAGAUUCGACCGUUGGUUUUCCCGUUUGAAUGGUUUUAACACUAGUCAAAUUUUCGGGCCCUUUAUAGCUUGCUGUUCGGUGUGAACCAAGGCUCCGUGUUGAAGACUGUACUCUGACCUAUAACGGUUUACUUUAAUAAAUUAUUCAGUGUGGUUUUUCACAAAAUAUGAAUUAUUGUAACCCAAAACAAGAAAUUUGUAUCUACGAUUCCCAUUUUUAUAGAAAAAGCUCUGUUUAAAAAGAUGGUGAAGUCUAUCUUUCAACAGAGCAUUGGGAAUAGUAGUGUAAAGCGUAGAAAAUCAAAAGUCUUUAUGUUGCUGCAAAAUUGCAAAGAUUGUGAUCGAAGAUUAAGCAGUAGAUCUUUCGAAUUUGUGAUAAUCCACAUCUGGUUAACACCACUGGUAGAAUAUAUCUCAUCGCAAUAUUUUUAAAGCCCAUAUUUAACUGUAGAAAGAAUAGUAGUCAAUACUUUAGAAAGAUGUUUAGUCGAACAUUUUGAUGACCCAGUUAUGUAUCGUUCUUUAUAUGGAGUUUUGUGAAGUUUUGGUAUCCAGUAUAAUGACGGUAAAUUUUCUUCGUUUUCUUUGAAGUUGAUACCAAAAGAGAGAAGGACAAAUUUGUGAUUUUGUAAAAUUUCGUCUUUGAUAAAUGAUGUUAAAGAAUAUGUAGGAUUAGCAGUAGUUCUAUUUAUUCCAAGCUCUGCUGUGAGACAUUGCAAAUAAUGGUUUGUACAUAUGAGGACAAUAUUAUUGGAGGCUUUAUCUGCUGGAACAACGACAUAUGUGCCAUGCAAAGAGGAUAAAGCAUCUACAAUAUCUGGAUUUUUGAAAGGGUUAGUUACUGUAACUCUUGUGCUCAUAGUACACUGUAGUUUUUAAAUGCGCUUCUGAAUGCAUGAUCGCAUUAUAGCUUUGAUUCAUUCAGACAAAGUGUCCAGUUCUGGUUUGUCUGGUUCGCGCUUUACCCAUUUUCUUGCAUAGUCCUCAAAUGCAUCCAUCAGUAACCUGAAGUUCCUUUUUCAGUUGAUGGACUGGGGAAUUCUAUAUUUUGGUCCCUUGGCUAACAACUCUCUUAGGUGUUCAUUGGUAACGAUGUCAAGGUCGCCAGUAAUAACAUAACCAGCUGGACUAUAAUUGUAUUGCGACGAUGCACAUGAGCAAUUCGGAGGCUUGGAUUUCCCAUCUUUGAGGUUAAAAGCCUCUAAAACCUCUCUGCUACAGUGGUGCAACAGCACUGCGUGUGCAUAGGAACAAUUUGAAACUACACAAAUCAGUUGCAAAAGGUUUAACUAAAUAGAUUGGUACAAACCACUAAAACAACUAAAUUAAAAACAAUAAAAAAACCACUGAAAUCUGAGUAUUUUUAUACAGAUGACAAAAGUAUAAACCGCUAUGUUUGAAUACAGCUAAAAUCCUUUUCUUUUUUCCCCAAUUAUCCGAAGAAUGCACCAGACGCAAAUUUCUAACCAAGGACAAUAAUUGAAGUUUUAUAAUUAUAUAUGUAAAUGUUAUUACAAAAACGUGCAACAUUUGCAAUUUUGUUUCAGACGGGUUUUAGCAGCGACAGGUAAAACUUCAUGUCAAUAGAAAAUUUCGGUUAAGGAUUAUAUACUUUUAUAUUAUAUAUGUUCUUUCCAUGCCAUUACUCGUUUUUUUUUUAAAUUGCAGAGGGUAUGUACCGCUGCUGGUAAACUUUCGUUCCUGAAGGAUAUGGGAAUUUGGACUACAUCACAUUAUAUCGUUCGUUACGUAAACUGGAAUCCGCUUGUAUUUUCAACAAAGUGUAGUAGUCAGCUGGGAACUUUAAUAAAAACGUAGUAUUUAUCACGGCAGCUUCUGGAAUACAUACUGAUAAAUGUGUAUAAUUAUGAAAUUACAAAACAUAUUACUUUAAAUAUAAGAAAGUUUUUUAUGUUUUUUUUCAGUUAGAGAACAAGAAUUUUACCUAUAAAAAUUGAAAACAACUGAGAAAGAUUACAGAAGAUGAAAUAUAUCCUGUCAAUAUUGAUACUUGUUAUUUCUAUGACAACCAAGACAACUGAAAGUUGUGAAA